Molecule: long non-coding RNA, 4486 nt
Filed under: Sus scrofa (pig)
Lineage: Eukaryota; Metazoa; Chordata; Mammalia; Artiodactyla; Suidae
Description: lncRNA (ENSSSCG00015028697.1)
Source: RNAcentral
UUUUUUUUUUUUUUUAAUGGGUUGCCUCUGUGGCAUGCAGCAAUUCCCAGGCCGGGGACUGAAAACCCACGCCACAGCCGUGACCCGAGCCAUUCAGUAACAAUGCCAGAUCCUUAACCUCUAAGCCACCAGGGAACGCCAAGGGCAUCCAGAUUCUCGCAUGGGCCCACCCCUCUGGCCACAGCCAGCCACCUCGGGGCUGGGCCUGACUCCAGCUGAAACAAGGAACUCCUUCCCUGGGAAUUUUUAACUGGGAAUUGAGAAAGUUAGGUCGACUCCCUCCUAUGGGAGAAGCUAUUGCUGGUCAUGUUUCUGGAAAGCCAGACUGCAGCCGCAGUGAGAAAGGCAGCGCUAAACAGGCCAAGGAAUAAUAGAGGCAGGUGGGUGGCAUUUGAGGAGCUUGUCCAGCACAUCUGCGCCCCACCCCCCACCCCCCAUGGUUUGCUGGUUCUGCGCUUCUGAGGACUCUGGAAAGAAUGGAUUCCUCUUCUUGCUCACUGAGGUGAGGCUCUGAUAUUUGCAAUCAGGAUUACAGAAGAUGUGUGACCCUUGUACGGGUUGGGUUCUUUUUCAAAAACAAGAGCAGAACGGAGAGGUUAGAAAGCACGAGUGACCUUCACCUCAACCCACCUGCCAGCCGGAACUUGUGAUUUACACACCUGGCAGCUGCAUCCUUGACCUUUUGAGACGGCGCUGUAGCUCGUUUCAAGGUGCUGCCCAGAAGUUCCCGUUGUGGCUCAGUGGGAACAAAUCUGACUAGUAUCUACGAGGAUGCGGGUUCGGUCCCUGGCCUCACUCAGUGGGUUAGGGAUCUGGCGUUGCCGUGAGCUGUGGUGUAGGUCACAGAUGAGGCUUGGAUCUGGCGUUGCUGUAACUAUGGCGUAGGCUGGCAGCUGCAGCUCUAGUUCCACCCCUAUCAUCGGAACUUCCAUAUGCCUCACGUGCAAUCCCAAAAAGAAAGACAAAAAAAGAGGAGGCUGCCCCCACUUGGGGAAGGGGAGGCAGGCAGCAGUAUGAGGUGGAGGGAUGGCUGUAGCCAGCUGCAGCUCCAGCACUGGGGAUUCAGCUGGCGGGUCCUGCCUGUCUGCUUCCUGCUGGAUUUCUUCUCGCUUGCCUCUCCCAGAGAGGAACCCCUCUUCUGUGUCCUGAUCUAAUGGAGGGAGACGAUCCCUCUCCAGGGAGCUACCUCCUGGGGUCCAGAGAAGGAAGGGAGCUGCAUUUAAUACCUGCAUUGUCUUACUCAUCAUCCUAUAAUACCCUUCCUGUAAGAUGUCUCAUGGAUCCUGACAACGCCCCUCAUUUUAUACGAGAGCCGACCAGAGCCUUGUUCCUCCUACUCUGUGUCUGCAAAUAGCACAUGUCAUUCUCUCCCCAUCUCACCCCUCUUUUUUCGGCCUUGUUUUCCACAUAAGAGGCAGCACCGUAGAAAGCCAGCUACUGCUGUUUCCUGAGGACAAGAUGCCAGGGGAAGACACUAUUUUCAUACCAAACCUGGUUUCCUGGUGGGCACAGAAAUUGUGGCCUGUGAAAAUAGCAACUCUGGCAAAAAUGUCUCCAAUCUGCUUAGAUGUGCAUCAAAUUAGGAGCUAGCCUUGCAGUUACGCCAACAGACUGUUUCUAAUGAGCCGGAAACAAAACUCCUUUUAAAGCUACCAGCCAUUGGCCCAGAGUCGUCAGCACAACUAGAAACCUGGGGCCCUCCAGCAAAACUUGCUCCUAGCUUUCGCUCCCUCUGACCCUGCCAGCUCCAUCAUCAUCCCUUAUUCUGUUCCUGCUCCUGCAGCCCAGGACCCAGGCCUUUACACAUGCAAUGGAAGGCAGCGAUCAGACCCAGACCUGGGGCCAUGGUCUCUGCCCUCACAAAGAGGAGAGGGACACGACUCUGCUCGUCCUCUGCACUGUCCAUACCUCUCUCCACCCCCCACCCCCAUGCCUUUUCCCAGUCAAUACCAGAGUCCCUAGGUCAGUUUCUACAGCCUCUAUCAACAAAAGCUGAUAGCAGUGUCACAGACUUGAAUGGAGCAGGGGAGCAGGCAGGCAGUAAGAACAAUAGCUGACAUUUUAGCAAAUGUGGAUGGCUGGUCUCCAAGCCUCUGUGCCUGCUCUUCCAUCUGCUUGCACACUCUUCCCUGCAGAGCGCCACGUGGCUGUGUCUUCACUUUCCUUGUGCCUUCCCUGGAGGCUGUCUUUUCAUGAGGCUUCCCUGCCGAUCCUUUCUAAGUCCCCAGCAUUCGCCACCCACUUGCCCUGCCCUAUCUUUUUCUACAGUGUUCGUGGGAGGAGACGAUCCCUCUCCAGGGAGCUACCUCCUGGGGUCCAGAGAAGGAAGGGAGCUGCCAUUUUAAUACCUGCAUUGUCUUACUCAUCGUCCUAUAAUACCCUUCCUGUGAGAUGUCUCAUGGAUCCUGACAACGCCCCAAGAGGCAGGUACUAUUAUCCUCAUUUUAUACGAGAGCCAGCCAGAGCCUUGUUCCUCCUACUCUGUGUCUGCAAAUAGAAUGCCCCCGACGUUAUGUUUACUAUAUGGUCGACCAUGUUGUUUCUUGUCUGUCCUGCCAUGCCCCUACUAUAGGUGCCAGAAGGGCAGAGGUUAGUCUGUUUUGUCCCCUAAAGUAUCCCCAAACCCUAAAAAAAAAAAAAAGACACACCCCCCAAAAAACUGGCCCUUGCAGUUCCUAUUGUGGCGCAGCAGAAAUGAAUCUGGCCAGGAACCAUGAGGUUGCCAGUUCAAUCCCUGGCCUUGAUCAGUGGGUUAAAUAUCUGCAUUACCGUGAGCUGUAGUGUAGAUGCGGCUUGGAUCCUGUGUUGCUGUGGCUGUGGUGUAGGCCAGCAGCUGUAGCUCCAAUUGGACCCCUAGCCUGGGAAUCUCCAUAUGCCACGGGUGCGGCCCUAAAAAGCAAACAAACAAACAAACAACCUGGCCUGUGUUAGGUGUCCAAUAAAUAGUCAUUGUGUCCCCAAGGCCAGGCGCUGUGCUAAACACCAGGAUGUAUUAACGCAUGUAAUCCCUCCACAAACUUAUGAGAUGGGCACCACUUGGUGGUGGUGGAGGUGGUGGUGGUUAUUAUUAUUACGCUGCCCAUGUUGCCGAGGAAGAGGCUGGAAUACAGAGCGGUUAAGGCACACAGCUAGUUAGGGGUGGAUAAGAACUCAGACCCAGCCGUGUAACCGUGUUCCCAACCACUUUCCUGCUUCGAACACACUUCAUACAACAUGACCAGGCCUGGUGGGAACCGUGACAACUGGAAAAGGCUUCCUGUGCCCGAAAGCAGUCCGUUUUAUUUUAAUCCUCUUCUGGACCCAAGCAAGAGCGUCUGUUGCCUUAUUUAGCCUCUAGGCCACCAGUUGGAAGAGGCUCAACCUAAAGUAGAAAUUGCAGACAAAAAUAGGCUUUUAUGGGGUUAGGAGGAAUAGAGAUUGAGAGAAAGAUUGCCCAGCCAGACUGCGGGGGUUAAGGAAUCCACAGGUGUCUUUUUCUUGGCUGUUUGCCCUUUGGCAAGAGGGUCCAUGCCAGGGAGGCUCAGAGAUGGCUGCCUGAACAGAAAUCCCGUGGCCGGGGGGACCCUUCCAGGAGUGCUAAGCUCAGGCACCACCCAAAUGACAGGCAGGCUGUCGACUGUCACAAGCUGGUCGCCUGGGACAGCUGCCGCCACACAGAGGAGGGACCAAACCACAGAGCCAUGGACAUGUGUAUAGUCUUGGCAUUGCUGCAGUGUUAAGGCACCUCCCUCGUGUCCUCCUAGACCCCCCCAGAUGGUCCGUUUCUUCGUGGUCGGCUGUCUUUGAUUUUGAUACCAGCUUGCUGCUGACCCCAAUCAUCUCACUGUAGGGUGUCCAGUCCAGGUGGCCCCAGGGAUUAGAACACCAGCCAAAGCCUUCAGAAAUGCCUUCACGCGCUAAUACUCGGAAGCCACAAUGUUUAUUGAACACCAUCGGCCACGUUAAUGUCAUGACCCAGACUGUAGGAAAGAUCGAAAGGACUUUUUCUCUUCCAUGAGGCGGCUGUGAUCAAAGAAGAACCCAUCCAGUCUCUCCAUGCAGCACGCAGCAGCUCAGAGUUCUCGGUUCCCUUAACACUCCCUCAGUAACCACGGCUUGAGCAGCUGGUGGUGCCCACAGUGUGCUCUGGAGGGGCACUGGCAGGCAGGAGACAGCUAUAAUCCCCAAUGGUGAGAGAAGAUGCAUCAGGCGUGUGGGCCAAGAGUUGUAAGAAUGCAGGGCAGGGGUGAGGGCGGGGCUCCCGUUGUGGCUCAGUGGUUCACAAACCCGACUAGCAUCCAUGAGGAUGUGGGUUCAAUCCCUGGCCUUGCUCAGUGAGUUAAGGAUCUGGCCUUGCCGUGAGCUGUGGUGUAGGUCGCAGACGUGGCUCGGAUCCUGUGUGGCUGUGGCUGUGGUGUAGGCCGGUGGCUACAGCUCUGAUUUGAUCCCUAGCCUGGGAACUUCCGUAUGCCAGGGGUACAGCCGUAAAAAAAAAAAAAAAAAAAAA